ACUCCUACGGGAGGCAGCAGUGGGGAAUAUUGCACAAUGGGCGCAAGCCUGAUGCAGCCAUGCCGCGUGUGUGAAGAAGGCCUUCGGUUGUAAAGCACUUUCAGUCGUGAGGAAGGUAGUGUAGUUAAUAGCUGCAUUAUUUGACGUUAGCGACAGAAGAAGCACCGGCUAACUCCGUGCCAGCAGCCGCGGUAAUACGGAGGGGUGCGAGCGUUAAUCGGAAUUACUGGGCGUAAAGCGCAUGCAGGUGGUUUGUUAAGUCAGAUGUGAAAGCCCGGGGCUCAACCUCGGAAUAGCAUUUGAAACUGGCAGACUAGAGUACUGUAGAGGGGGUAGAAUUUCAGGUGUAGCGGUGAAAUGCGUAGAGAUCUGAAGGAAUACCGGUGGCGAAGGCGGCCCCCUGGACAGAUACUGACACUCAGAUGCGAAAGCGUGGGGAGCAAACAGGAUUAGA
This 454-nucleotide ribosomal RNA is filed under the name uncultured bacterium. RNAcentral describes it as "bacterial SSU rRNA". It matches the Rfam family "Bacterial small subunit ribosomal RNA", at positions 335 to 782 of the family's 1533-position model. The record is from RNAcentral.